Molecule: non-coding RNA, 86 nt
Organism: Mycena galericulata
Lineage: Eukaryota; Fungi; Basidiomycota; Agaricomycetes; Agaricales; Mycenaceae
Source: the annotation of a GenBank genome assembly
GUCGCCCUAGACUAGUGGUUUAGGUGCUUUCCGUGCGCAGCUUAAAGCGGCCAGGAAGUCGGGGGUUCGAUUCCCUCCGGGGGACG